This is an RNA transcript of Lutzomyia longipalpis, 10788 nucleotides long. It is a transcript of the gene named syntaxin-1A, with no coding region annotated. NCBI's taxonomy places the organism in Eukaryota, Metazoa, Arthropoda, Insecta, Diptera, Psychodidae. The record is from RefSeq and is a predicted model, not a curated record. The transcript has 9 exons.
GUGAAUGAGCAUGUUUCAUGUGUUUCACAGUGGCAAAAGGAUUGUGUUUUUGUACGCAGGCGCUGUGCUUGUUGCAGAAGAAAAUAAAAUAUCGAUUUUCAUGGAGUAGUUUUGGUGUGUGGUAUCUGAAAUUUUCUCACUUGUGGAAAAUAGAGCUGGGUGCUGUGAGAAAAGUGUUGAGUUUGUGCGAAAGGUCGGCACCAUCCGCAGAGGCCAUCAGAGUCAAAUGGAUAUCUAGUAACAGAUCGCCCUGCCCCAAAACACACUUCCACACGAAAAUCUUCUCCGUUCUUAACUAACCAAGAGAACCUCCACGAGCUGAGAGUGUGCCGUUUGAGCUUCUUGUUCCGUGUUCCGAGGAUACCGUAGUGAAAUCACGACAGAAGGCAGCUUGAGCAGUGAAUCAUGACGAAGGAUAGAUUAGCAGCACUUGUCGCGGCCCAGAGCGACGACGAUGACGUGGGGCCGGACGAAGUUGCUGUUAAUGUGGAGGGACGGGAUGGGUUUAUGGAUGACUUCUUCAAUGAAGUCGAAGAGAUACGGGAGAUGAUAGAUAAAAUCCAGACAAAUGUGGAGGAAGUCAAGAAGAGACACAGUGCAAUUCUAUCAGCGCCUCAAUCUGAUGAGAAGACAAAGCAAGAGUUGGAGGAUCUUAUGGCCGACAUAAAGAAAACUGCCAAUAGAGUCCGUACUAAGCUAAAGGGCAUUGAACAGAACAUCGAACAAGAGGAACAGGCAAACAAGUCCAGUGCUGACCUACGAAUACGCAAAACACAGCAUUCAACUCUCUCGAGGAAAUUCGUUGAGGUGAUGACGGAAUACAAUCGGACUCAGACAGACUACAGAGAACGAUGCAAAGGGAGGAUACAGAGACAGUUAGAAAUUACGGGUAGAACUACAACCAAUGAGGAGCUGGAGGAGAUGUUGGAGCAAGGGAAUCCAGCGGUAUUCACUCAAGGAAUUAUUAUGGAAACGCAACAAGCCAAACAGACUCUGGCAGAUAUUGAAGCUCGACAUGCAGAUAUUAUUAAAUUAGAGAAUUCAAUCAGAGAACUUCACGAUAUGUUUAUGGAUAUGGCUAUGCUAGUCGAGAGUCAGGGUGAUCUUGUGGAUAAUAUUGAGCAUCAUGUUUCACAAAGUGGAGCGCACGUGGAGGAAGCUCGAGGGGAGCUUACAAAAGCCAGGGAAUAUCAGUCAAAAGCCAGAAAGAAAAAAAUUUACAUAAUGAUUUGCCUGCUAAUUACGUUAGUGAUUAUAGCAAUUAUUUUAGCAAUACAGCUAUCCUAAAAGAAAAAUCUUCACACGCGGUAUUAAUUUAUAAAAUAAUUACAAAAAAAAAACAUAUAAGUUUGUAUGACUUAUUGGAUAAUAGAUGAAAAAAAUACAAAAAAAUAUUCGAAAAAAUAUAAAUGGAUUAAAUGUGACAAAAAAAAACUUUGAAAUUUCUUGGAGGAUUGACAUGAAAAUUUGUUUAUUUCCCUUUUUGAUGCAUUCACUGCCAUUUGCCCGUUUAUUUUUUGAAUAAAUAUUAUUUUUUGAAAAUUAAAACAAAAUGAAUUUCUUUUGAAGUUUUAGCAUUAGUUAAUUAGUGCUACCAUUUUUAUUAUUAAAUUGAUUCUCAGCUCUUAUGCAGAAAUAACUUUUACACGUGCAUGGAAUGUUCUUCAAAAUGCGAAAAGAAUUUUACAGGUGAAAACUUCUAACGACAGUUGGGUUUUGAAUUAACCUGAAACGUGUUUAUUUGAGUUAUUUUGCUUCCUUUUUACUUUUUUUUUAUUCUGCAAAAAAUGAAUUCUAAAGGUUCCAUAACUCUCACUGGAUUUUUGUUGUUGAAAUUUUCAAUUUAGGGAAAUCUCUGAAGAAUCUUUUCAGUUAUCGAUUUUAGAAUACGUAUUUAUAGCCACUUCUUUUUCCGGUCUAUUAUUAGAACAUUAUGCAUCUUAUUGUAAAGAAAGCUCGAAAGCUCUAAAGGGGAAUUUAUCUUGUUAAACAUUUCAUAAAGUGUCUACAAAUCCCAAAUGAGACGUUUGUAGAUCUCAGAUAAAUGAAAUUUUGCAAGUGAUUAAGAGAUAUUUCAAUAGAUAUAUGUUUCACUGCACUGUUGUACUCAAUUCAGUGCAAUUUUGAUGCAGUUCUAAAGCUGAAUUAAUUUCUAUAGCUCUGUGCAAAAUCUAAUCGCAAUAAAUCUUUAAUUGAUUAAUUUUCGACAAAUGAGGUUCUAUUUCUCUAAAAAUUAAAUAGCAAAUUAACUACGAUUUUAUUUUCUCUGACUUGAUUCGUGAUUUUUGAUACUUUCUAACCCGUUAGGGGAUGACCUAAUUUUGAGCUUUUGCACGCGACUUUAAUUUGUUUUUUGAUGAAUUAAGUUCUGCAGGAACAUUUCUGCUUGAUAGGAAGAAAAUUUUCUUUGAAAUCAAAUAUCUUUUCAUGGAAAAUCUUGAGGCAAAUCAAUGUCGUAAAAAUUCAUUUCUUUCAAAAUAAAAUAUUUGUAGGUCUCUCAGAAUACCUUUAUAACAAUCAAAGGGUUCUACCAAUCUCUCUAAAUCUUCAGUUCAAAUUUAAUCUACUAUGAUACAAUGUUUAGUACGUAGUUUAAAAUUUAGUAUGUACCUACUAAAUUGCUAACCGAGCAUAUUCCAUAAUGUUCACAGUCCAUAAGCUUCCCACGAAAUGUAGCUUUAAAAAUUAAUCAGAUUUUCAACGCAGAACUAUCUCAAAUUUCUAUAUUGACCAAGAACAACCAACAUUUAUGAGCAAAAUGUGUUUCAGCAAUAAUUGUUAGUUAGUCAAUAAAAUGCCACGUUUACCAUAAUUUUAUCCCCAAACAACAACAAAUAAGCGCACAAUCUGAAAACUAUGUGUGCGAGGAAAAAUAAAAUGAUAGUGGAACUUCAAAGUAUAAUCCUUCAUUAUUUCACACAUUUAUUUAAUUUUGCGGUUAUGAUUUAAUUAUGUAAUGCUCAAAAGUAUGCAAAUUAAAACACUAGUGGGGCAAAAAGGUUUUUUUUUUAUUUUAAUUAUAAAUGCUACAAAAGUUUUUUUGUGUGCUCAUGUUUCAGGUUAAUAUUAUAUUAAGGGAAUUUUUUUUCAUGACGUCAAAGGGGGUGAAAAUAAUAUAAAAGGGUGAAUGGAAUUGGUUUAAAGUGCAUCAGAAUAAUUUCAAAUUCAAUUUGUCAUUUUUCUGAGCUUUAAAUCUACUUUGCAUCGAAGCUCCAGUAAUGAUUUUAAUUUGAGGAAUGUUAAACCAAUGAACACUCUGUUUGAGUUUUUGAACCAAUCAGGGAGAAGUUCGUAUUCUUCUUCUUAUUUAUUGAUAUUUCAAAAGGAGAUUACAGCUGCGAUUUGAUUGGGUAGUAAAGUGAACUCCACCCAUAUCCUAUCAUACUGAUAGAUUACUGUUUACGAGUUUCUUUGAAUCCUUUUACAUGAUUAGAACCUACCCUAUUUGUAUUUUUCACCCGAUUAUAAAAAAAAAACAAAUAAAAAAGUUUUGAGUGCUUGUUAAAAAAUUCUUUAGCAUUUUGAUGGAUAUUUCAUUGUGUGAAAGAUAACCACGCUUGCGAGUUUUUUUAUAGUUCUUUUCUUAUAUCUCACGUAGUGAUGUUGAUGAAAGAAUUUUGUAGCGUUAGAGGUUAUUAAAAUAGUAACAUUACAUUAUAAAAAUAAAUCUAGGAUAAAUAUAAUACUAAUACCAUGCACUUUAUAUGCACACCCCGCCCAUGCAGAAGAAGAUCAUGAUUCUGCUAUGUCUCACUGUCCUGGGUAUUAUUGUGGCCGCCUACGUCAGUAGCUACUUUAUGUAAAAGAACAUAUAUAAAGUAAAUAGGCAUAAAAUGAGAAUGAAAAAAAGUUGUGAAGUCAGCAAAAAUGCUACCACCAUUCACCAUCGAAUGAAAAUCAUCACCAUUAUCACCAAAAAAAAAUAACAGCAAAACAGAAGCAAAACCCAGCAUUUUAAAUGAAAAAUUCAAAAUAAUAAUAAAUAGAAGUGUCCAAAAAAUAUAAAGCUAUCAAUAACUGUUGUGUGGAUAUUAUGAUUUAAAAGUUUUGUUCUAUGUUUUUCUCGUAAAACUCAAACCACUCACCGACACCACCAAAUAAUUAAUCACACACUUCUUAUUCGUUUUUUUUUAUUUUUAAAAAGAAAAGAAGAGAAGUUUGUAAUGUAAACCAAUUUAUUUGUGUUCCUUUCGACGUUAUAUUGUGGUUUAUAUAUACCUAUACGUUAUGUAUAUUUUGAGUCAUUAUUCUUUUGAGACGUUUUGCCACCCUAUAUUUUCUCUCAAUGUUUAAUGAAGAAAAAUAAGAGCAAUGAAAUAAUUGAGCACCAAGACAUAAAGUUGAAUUCACAUUGAAACCCAGAAGUGGCAUCAAUAAUGUUGUUGAAAUAGAAAAUAAUAUAAAUGAAGGAAAUGAGUAAGAAAAGUAAAUAUACAACAGAAGAAAAAAUGUAGGAAAUUUCAUAGAAAAUCACACCAAUAAUCAUCAAUCUUUCCUCUCAGGUACAUAAUAUUUCAUUAAAUAAAAUUUCUCUUGUGUUUAUUUACCGUACAAACAUUUAUUUACAACAAAAAUAUUCCUUUUAUCACUCACACAUUUUAUUAUUUUAUCAAAUUUAGCAACAAAAAAACAAAGUAUUGGUAAAAAAUUUUUUGAGUAGAAAUUGUUAAAUUUUUGUGUUUAUCAAUUCGACAGAAGAAGAUCAUUAUUUUGGUGUGUUUGGGCAUCCUUUUGAUUAUCAUUGCCGCAACGAUAGCCGGAUAUUUUGGCUUUUGAAUUCAUCAUCACGCAUUGAGAUCACAAAUUGGAUAUCUGCAUGUUGAACAGAAUAAAAUAUUUUUGAGACAAAAAAGAAAAUUCGACAUAAAGGAAAAUUUUACAAAAUUAAGUUUUUUCAUUUCUGAGUCCAUCCCUCAGUAUUUUUUUAUGUUUUCAUAUUAAUUUCUAUAGAGAAAAGUGAUGUUGAGUUUUGAGUUUUAGAAAGGAAGUUUUCUAAAAUAAUGUUAAAACAUGUUAAAAUGAAUUUUAUGUAUAAAUUCAUAAUGCGAAGUGCUUUUGAUUCUUUUUUUCUCAUUUAUUCAUUAUAAUUCAUAUACUAUUGUAGCUGAUUUUACACAUCAAGAAAAUUAAAAAAAAAAAUGUGUCUGAUGUGAGGAAAAAAGGGGAAAAAAGAUAAAGGAGGGAAAUUGCAGUGGUGGACAAGAAAAUAGAGCCCAGUCGUAAAAAUCGAGGAGAUAUGUUUUAAUUUCAUUUCAGCAUUGCAACUAACUAGAAUUUGUUUAACAAUUUUUUUUGUUAACUUGUUUCAGGUUUUAUUAAAAUUAAUUUUGUAAAUUUUCUGAUACGAUUUCUUUUUAGUUUGAUGAAUGUUAACCUGCUCAAACGUUAAAUUCAAUAUAAUUUUGAAUAAAUGAAGAAUCUCGUAAGUAAUAGAUUUCUUUUAUUAGAGAAAUGUACGUAAAUAUCGGGUGCUAGGGGUGCUAGUAAUGCUGAAUUGAUAAAAGAGAACAAAAAGUUGUUAAAAGGCACAAGAUGAUAGUUGUGUGCUAUGAUAGUCGUGAAACGCCUUACGUUUGAAAAUUGAGUUUGGCAGAUUAAAUGGGGUUUGUCAAAUAUGUUAGAGGAGAUAUCGUUCGAUUUGCUGUGUCUUAACUGCAUUUUGAAGGCUUUUUGUGAAAGCAUCAAGCCUUUAAAUAUUCUACAAAAGAUUCUCUCACGAUCUUUAUGGAAAAUCAUUCAAGCGAAUGCAUUUGGAAAUACUCUUAUUUAUCAAUUUUAUUGAUUUCUUUAAUGACUAAAAUUACUUCUCAAAAUCUUUUUACAAAGUGGCUCUAUUUUCUUGUCCACCACUAUGUUCUAUGCGUAUAAAAUUGUUAAAAUUCCAGGAAAGAAUGGAAAGAGUUGUAUGGAUUUUUAAGUUACUUUAAAGCUGAUAUAAGAAAAAAAGAAGAAUGAAAAAGCAAGAAAAGUGUUGUGGGCUUGUAGUGAUUUUUGAUUGAGUAGAUGAACCAACAAAAUGAAAGAAAAGGAGGAAGAAAUUGGAAACAAAACAAAGCAGAUGCGUUUUAGCAAUAAUAUUAUAUAUAUUUAAAUGAAGGAAAGUAAUAUACAUAAAAAAAUUGAUUAAAAAAUAUAUAUAAACGACGUUACACUAUUUGUAAUUUCGGAAAAUUGAGCGCGAAAAUGUAAAAAAUUUGGUUCUUCUGGAAGCAAAAACAAAAAAAAAAGAAUGAAAUUAUAAAAAGUGUAAUUCCUUUUUCUGCCAUUGAAUGAAUUUUGCAAUUAAAACAUGAAUGUCUUUUGCUCUCAAAAAGAAUGGUUAAAAAAAAUGUGAAAAAAUUGAGAUAAAAAAAACAAUCUUGCAAUAGCGCAUCAAAGUGAAUUAAUUAUAGGAUUCAAUUUUCUGGAACUAUAAGAUAGGGAAGCAGUUCAAGAAGAUGUGUGAUAACAUUUAUCUUCAAUUUAUAUUUAAAAAAAGAAAAAAAUAUAUAUAGAAGACGGUGGGAGGAGUAUAAAAAAAUUAGAUGAUAGAACAUUAUUUAUUAUAAUAUUUAAUAAAUUUUACAUUUUGGGAAUAUAAAUAUUGAUGAACAGUUCAUGUUGGCGAUUGAACCAGUGAAAAAAGAUGUAUAUUUCAUGGAAUGAUAAGCAAAUGGAAGAAGAAAAAAAAACUCAGAAUUUUAGUAAAAACAUAAAAAAAGAAACUUUGUUAAUAUUUUGCAAUCAUGUAAAAAAGAUAAUUUUUAGAAAUGAACUUCCUUUAGUUGCUGAGAGACACACUAUAACAUACACGGAAAAAAAGAACUAAUAAUAAAAAACUAACAUGUGAGAAGAAAUGAAGAGGAGCAGUAAAAGUGCAGAAAAUCAAUACAUUUUAGGAAUACGAUAAGGAGUUUCGUAUAUAAUAAUAUUUUUUCUACAUACAAUCUCCCAUAUCUGUGUACAUUCUUCGCUAUACGGCAUUAAUCAAUGGUGAAUUAUUGAAAAAAAAAAAUAAAAGGAAGAACAGAAAAUAGGACUACGGUAUUUCAUCACGUGAUGGAGAAAAUGAUAUAUAAUAUUCUAGUCACACCAAAAGGAAAGCUUAAAUAAUGUAUUGGACAAAAAUUUAAUUUCACCAAAUAACAGAAAAAUAUCAAAUCACAGAUGCUAGAAAUUACUUAUACGAUUACAUUUCUUGUCUCUCUCUCCCCUUAAUGCAAUUUUAAAUGAAAUUGUAUAUUGCAAAAUCCAUUUCUUCGAACUUAUUGUAGAAAAUAAACACCACAACAGAAGAUAUAAACCAUACUAAAACCGAGACUAAAGUGGCAGGAAAUACUACAAAAAAUAACGAAGAGUUUCCAAAAAUGAAGCUGUAUUUAUUUCUUUUUUUUCCUUACUUAAAAGUCGAUAUGUUGAAGCGGAUGUCACAUUUUAUUCCCAUGAGGAAGUUCUCUAGUUUGUUAACUUUCUGUUUAGAUUAAAUAAAAAAGACCAGACGAGUAUGAUUCUUCAGUGUAAAUCAGGUCAGAUUUUCACAAGCAUCGUGAUUUUGUGAAUUUCUGUCCCUAAUUUUUCAAUCCAUAUAAAUCAAAAGAGCUUUUCCAAAGCUUUCAAAUAAUUUCUGUAUAAGUUUGAUAAACAAAUAGAGCUCUCUAUCUAUUAAGUUGUGACAUCUGCUUAACGUUUCUUGAAUAUUUUUAGUGUAUAAUGUUAAUUAUUUCUUUUACUAUUUAGCUCUCAUAGAGGGUAUUAGUUGAUGCAGUAUAUUGCAUUGAAAUAUUAAUGAAAUACAAUCUUUGAUUUAAGUAAAAUUUAAGGGAUGGUUUGAUUCUAUGAAUUUCGUGUUUUAAAUGGUUUAUUUGAUUUUAACAAUUUUUAGAAGAAUGUUAACAUGCUCAAAGGUGAGAUUUUUAUAAGCUGAAUGAAAUGAAUGAAAAUCAGCAAAGAAUACCUACAUUUCUUUUAUUUAUUUCAAGUAAAUUAAGUAAAGGUUAGGAUUUACAAAUCGCGUAAUUAAAGUCUCAGCAGAAUCUCAAAAAAAUUCAAUACCUGAUGAAGUGGAGAAACAAACUCAAAACAACAAAUAAACGAAUAAUAGUCAAUGUCAACACAAUCAUAAUAAAAUCAUCUAAAAAGCGACUUUCAGGAAUUAAACCUUCCCUUGAAUGUAUCGUUAUAUUAAACUAAUUUGUACAUACUUAAACAGAACUUCUUAUAUACAUAUAGCAAAAGAAUUUGCCUAAUUUGUUAUAUAUAGAGCAAGAACAAAACUUACAUUUUGUAAUAAAGGACAUUUUCCGCGAGGUAUUGUGUAGGAAGAGAAAUAAAAGAACCAUAUCAUAUAUUAAUGAAAAGAAAAACUUUAAAAGAAAAAUACUUAAAAUACAACAACGGACAGCAAUAUGUAUAAAAUACAUAGAGGACCCUUUUUUUCGGUUAUCGAAGAUCAAUAGCAACAAAAAUUUGAGAGAGAACCAAAAACUUCUCGAUAAAUAACUUCGUCCUAGAAUGUGUGUCAUGUUACUUCUUCAUUUGUGACGUUUAUGCUUUUCUUUUUGCCGCUAUAUAAUUCUCUAUUUAUUCUUUUCUUUCCCUUUUCCUCUUGAAAAAAAAAAGGAAAUUUUUAUUGCAGACUAUUGCGCAGAAAUAGAAAAAAAAGAGAAAAUAAAUUUUUCAUAUUAUAUAGAAAUUUAUACAGAACAUAGAAAAAAUUGAAAGUUAAACAUUUAGAAAAUGAAUUAAAGAAAAGCGAGAAUCUCUUGAUGACUUUCUUACCAAAAAAAAAGACACCAAUCUUAUUGUAAAGAUAUAAAAUGUAAAAAGGAAAAUUUAGUUCUAAGUUGAAUGUUCUUUUUGUUUUCAUUGUGUUUUCAUUUUUGCAAUUUUUGUCUUCCCUUUUAUCGCUAAAUUGUGUAUAAAUUUUGUGAAUUAUUAAUAAUCCAAAAAAAAAGUAAAAUGCGUUCUUCUGUAGAUUUAAAAAAAGAGAGAAAAUUUGAAAGAUUUUCGUGAGGAGUACCCAUAAAUUUAUGUGUUCAGGUGGGGAUAAAGUCCAAUAAAAAAAGAACAAAGUUAAGGAACAAUUUCCAUGAGACAUUUUAAAAGGAAAAAAUAAAUUUUUAAUUUUGCAUUAAAGUGGCAUUUUUCACUGAAUACGCAACUUUGCAAAAUGAAUUUGCUAUUGAGCCAAUAUUGUGAUUAAAAAGGCGUAUUCAGACUUAUUUUUGUGUGGGGAAAUUUAGGGCCAAUGAUAGAAUGUUUAUCUUUAGGACAUUUUAAAACUCAAAAAACAUUUUCGAACAAGAAUUCUUGUCUCUGCUUUUAAAUAAAUCGGAUAAUAUAGCUGCGUGUCCAAAUAAAAUUUGAUAAAUUUCAAUUUUCUUUACGUAAUUCCAUGAAAAAUUUAAUCCAAAUAGCGAUUAAUUCACUUUUAAACAAACCAUAAAAUAUUAAAUUUGUUAAUUCCAAAGAAGACCUUCUCUCUGAGUUAAUCGCAUUAAUUUCACAUUUAUCUACUUUCAAACAACAUUCAACCACAUUUUUUAAUUUUUUUUCGUUGCAAUAAUUUAAUAUGUACAAUUUGAAGAAAAAACAAUAUUAAUAUUUAGAAAAAAAAUGUAGUGUAAUAUAAACAACUAGUGAAAAAAUUUUUAAGCUUUCAAGAUGAUAAAAAAAAAUCUAAGAAAAAUAUUAUAUUGAAGACAAAAAAAUUAAAAGAAAAUUAAUAGGAUAUUAAAAUAAUUCUAAUAAAAUAAAAAAAAGUGAGAUAGAAUCACAUGAAGCCCAUCGUUAAAUAAUGUAAUUUGAAGCUAUAUUGUGAGAUAUAUUUAAAUAAAAUCAGAAAUAUACUGAAAAAAAAGCAUUUAAUCUUCAAGUAUAUAAAAAAGCUUCAUAUUAAGAUAAAAAUGAGAAAAAAAUACAAAAAACAAAAUGAUUUAUUAUUGUCGGUUCUUAUCGUUCAAAUACUUGCACAUGUUUAUUAAAAAAAAAUGAAAAAAUAUAAAUAUAUACAUAAAACCUAUAUAUAAUCUGAUGAAAUCGUAGGAUUUUUAUGUUCUCGCAGUGAAAUAAAAAAAAAUGAAGAAAAAAAAUCAAGUGAGACAAACCACGAAAGAUCUUGAGGAAAAAAAAUUAUUAAUUAAAAAAAUACAAAGUGAAACUUUUGAAAACUUGCAAAACUUACAAAAAAAAUUUCUAUAAUACUUCUACUAAAUAAAUAAAAAAUAUGCAGCAAAGUAAUUAUAUAUUCAUGUCAAUUCUUAAUUAAAAAAUUCUUUACAAAAAAAAAAUGUGAGAAAAAAAAUUGAAAAAAGAAUAAUCGUAUUGAAUUUUCAAUACGAUAUAACGCGCGGGAAGAAAUCUUUUACAAGAUGAGGUAAGAAGGUGCGCGGCAAAACAAUUAAAAGAUUAAUAAAAUAACAGCUAAAAGGAACAAAAUAAGAUCAACAGAGAAUGAGAGAAUUAAUUUGUUCCAAAGUGGGGAAAGAACAGCCCAAGAAAAAAUCUUAAGAUCAAGACAAAAUGUUAAAAAAAAUAUACACAUUGUAAAAAAAACUCAAAACUAAAAAAAAACUAAACCACUGAACAUCAUCGAUCAUGUGAAUAUUUAAAAGAAAAAAAUAAACAAGUAGAUGAAGAAAAGGAUGAAAAAAAAACAUUUAAAGGACACGAUCAUAGAGGAAAGAAAUCUAAAUAUAUAUUACUAUAUAUAUUUAUGAGUAUAUAAAGCAAGCAAAAAAAAACAUUUAACUGCAUCUCGUAUGCAUUAAAGUGAGAAUAAUAAAUCGUAUGUGUACUUAUUGUGUUUAA